UACGUAGGGUCCGAGCGUUGUCCGGAAUUACUGGGCGUAAAGCGCACGUAGGCGGAUUGUUAAGUCGGGGGUGAAAUCCUGGAGCUCAACUCCAGAACUGCCUUCGAUACUGGCGAUCUCGAGUUCGGGGGAGGUGAGUGGAACUGCGAGUGUAGAGGUGAAAUUCGUAGAUAUUCGCAAGAACACCAGUGGCGAAGGCGGCUCACUGGCCCGAUACUGACGCUGAGGUGCGAAAGCGUGGGGAGCAAACAGG
Molecule: ribosomal RNA, 253 nt
Filed under: uncultured bacterium
Lineage: Bacteria
Description: partial 16S ribosomal RNA
Rfam family: Bacterial small subunit ribosomal RNA
Source: RNAcentral